Molecule: ribosomal RNA, 203 nt
Filed under: uncultured bacterium
Lineage: Bacteria
Description: partial 16S ribosomal RNA
Rfam family: Bacterial small subunit ribosomal RNA
Source: RNAcentral
ACGCUCGAUACCUACGGGGGCAGCAGUGGGGAAUAUUGCACAAUGGGGGAAACCCUGAUGCAGCAACGCCGCGUGAAGGAAGACGGUUUUCGGAUUGUAAACUUCUGUUCUUAGUGAAGAUAGUGACGGUAGCUAAGGAGCAAGCCACGGCUAACUACGUGCCAGCACGCCGACGGUAAUCUGAGGCGGGCGUGGACGAAGGC